CCUACGGGUGGCAGCAGUGGGGAAUAUUGGACAAUGGGCGAAAGCCUGAUCCAGCCAUGCCGCGUGUGUGAAGAAGGCCUUCGGGUUGUAAAGCACUUUCAGUGGGGAAGAAAGCCUUGGGGCUAAUACCCUCGAGGAAGGACAUCACCCACAGAAGAAGCACCGGCUAACUCCGUGCCAGCAGCCGCAGGUAAUACGGAGGGUGCGAGCGUUAAUCGGAAUUACUGGGCGUAAAGCGCGCGUAGGCGGUCUGAUAAGCCGGUUGUGAAAGCCCCGGGCUCAACCUGGGAACGGCAUCCGGAACUGUCAGGCUAGAGUGCAGGAGAGGAAGGUAGAAUUCCCGGUGUAGCGGUGAAAUGCGUAGAGAUCGGGAGGAAUACCAGUGGCGAAGGCGGCCUUCUGGACUGACACUGACGCUGAGGUGCGAAAGCGUGGGUAGCAAACAGGAUUAGAUACCCUGGUAGUC
Molecule: ribosomal RNA, 466 nt
Filed under: Vreelandella stevensii
Lineage: Bacteria; Pseudomonadati; Pseudomonadota; Gammaproteobacteria; Oceanospirillales; Halomonadaceae
Description: partial 16S ribosomal RNA
Rfam family: Bacterial small subunit ribosomal RNA
Source: RNAcentral